This is a long non-coding RNA of Lonchura striata (white-rumped munia), 469 nucleotides long. RefSeq lists it as uncharacterized. The record is from RefSeq and is a predicted model, not a curated record. Lineage: Eukaryota; Metazoa; Chordata; Aves; Passeriformes; Estrildidae.
AUUAGGGGAGGAAAAAAAUCCAUCCCAAAACCUCAGUUAUUUCAAAACAUACCAAAAGUGGAUUGACAGUGGAUGAAGAGGAGGAGGAGGCAAUAGUGAACACACAACACAGUUCAAGCUGGCAAGGAGCCUUUUCUUGAAGAAUGAGGAAGAGCGAUCUGCUGGCAAAUUGCUUUUGGGAGAACCAAACUCAAACGAGGAGCGGGAAGGGUGUUGCCAUUGUCAUCAUCACCCCCUGCAGUGCCAACCUCACCUUUUGAUGGAGACACAGAGGAAAAAAUUAGAGAGACACAGCAGAUGAACAUCAGACCUGGCUGUGGACAGGCUGCAUGUGUCCCCUCCCCCGCCCCCCCAAAAUCAUCUCCAGCUGUAAAACACUUCAGGGCUGACAGAAACCACACGCAGCCCAGUCAUAACCCAAUCUGCAGAGCUGCAUUCCAAUAAAAGCGCAGCGUGGACCUAGGAGAAA